Molecule: non-coding RNA, 72 nt
Organism: Hylaeus volcanicus
Lineage: Eukaryota; Metazoa; Arthropoda; Insecta; Hymenoptera; Colletidae
Source: the annotation of a RefSeq genome assembly
GGCUGCUUGGUCUAGGGGUAAGAUUCUUGCUUCGGGAGUAAGAGGUCCCGGGUUCAAAUCCCGGAGCAGCCC